Molecule: long non-coding RNA, 645 nt
Filed under: Mus musculus (house mouse)
Lineage: Eukaryota; Metazoa; Chordata; Mammalia; Rodentia; Muridae
Description: RIKEN cDNA 2010010A06 gene, transcript variant 2 (2010010A06Rik)
Source: RNAcentral
AUUUACCCUGAGGUCAGGCCAGGCAGGCAGGCUGCUCUGAGCAAGGCCUUCCCAGUGCUGUCUACCCAGAAAGAACCAGCCAUAGGGCCAGCCGCUGUCUUCCAGGAUGUGCGGGGGUGGUGAGAAGAAUCCCAGGGUGACCUUACGCCUGCCCAGUCUGAGCGGCUCUGAUGGGAUGGAUCCCUUAUCGAAGUGUCUCUGAGUGGCUUGAAUCCAUACGCAUGAAGCGCUACAUCCUGCACUUCCCUUCGGCUGGGCUGGACCGGACACCAUGGAGUGUGUGCUGGAGAUGACGGCUGAGGACCUGACGCAGAUGGGAAUAACGUUGCCAGGGCACCAGAAACGAAUUCUCUGCAGUAUUCAAGGUUUUAAGGACUGAGCAUCCACUGAAAAGAUGCUCCAGCCCUCUGCCUGCCUCCAUUAGCAAGGACAGAGCUACAGUCAACUCCCUGGGCCUUUCCUCAGCCUACGAAAUGUAGGCUAUUGGUGCUGCUCCUGCCCAGUCAAUCAGAACUCUGCCUUUGGACCAAGGAGCCUUUGUGUAUAAAGGGGGUGGAUGGGUACAAGUGAAGGGGACUGUGGGUCCCUUACAUAUGCAUUAUCUAUUUUUGUAAAUAAACAAGAGUUUUCAAAACAAAACAAAAC